This 184-nucleotide unclassified non-coding RNA is filed under the name uncultured fungus. RNAcentral's name for it is "sequence contains ITS1". Lineage: Eukaryota; Fungi. The record is from RNAcentral.
UUGAUUUAUUUGUUUUUGUUACUCAGAAGAUACAGAUGAUACAAUAGAGUUUGGUUUUCCUCUGGCGGGCCGUCCCGUUUUACGGGGAGCGGGCUGAUCCGCCGAGGCAACAAUAAGGUAUGUUCACAGGGGUUUGGGAGUUGUAAACUCGGUAAUGAUCCCUCCGCUGGUUCACCAACGGAGA